AAAAAAAAGGAAAAAAAAACAUUUUAGUAUCUUCAUUUGUAAGAUGUGGCUGCUGCUGCUGGUUUUGAAUAGAGCAAGGGCUGACCCAGCCUCUGGUGCAGCACUCCCUGGGCCCCUGGUCUCAGCAUUCCCGCCCCAAAAGGAUGGAGCCUGCUAGCCUGUGGCACAAACACUUUCCAGCUGGCUCGAGGGCUGAGGAGUCGGACGCCCAGGGACAAACCUGCGCAUCCCGGAGUCCUUCUGUCGGCACUGUGCUCUUCAUUGACGGGACCCAAGCUCUGAUGCGGUCAGCUGCGAGCCUUCUAGGGUCAUAGCUGCUGAAGAAUGACAGACUGCCACAAAACCCAGAACAUCUGCCCAGACUGCUACAGGAUACGCUGGAUCUCCUCCAGAGGCUCUGGCAGCAUAAUGCUGAUUUGUAAGAAACACUGUUGAAAUCCACGCAUACAAAGAAGUUUUUAAGUAACAAAGAACUGGCUAUUUCAGGCUUCUGGGGCGUCUGAGUUGAAGUUAUUUUUCCAUUAUUAAACGAU
Oxyura jamaicensis (ruddy duck) is the source of this 533-nucleotide long non-coding RNA. RefSeq lists it as uncharacterized. Lineage: Eukaryota; Metazoa; Chordata; Aves; Anseriformes; Anatidae. The record is from RefSeq and is a predicted model, not a curated record. The transcript has 3 exons.